Long non-coding RNA from Alosa sapidissima (American shad), 99 nucleotides. RefSeq lists it as uncharacterized. Lineage: Eukaryota; Metazoa; Chordata; Actinopteri; Clupeiformes; Clupeidae. The record is from RefSeq and is a predicted model, not a curated record. The transcript is spliced from 3 exons.
GAUUGAGGUUAUAUGAAUACAUGCUUUACAGUUUCAAACUCGUUCUCUCAUCAUAAUGUCUACAAACCAUAGUGAUAAUAUAAACAACAAAAACUAAAA